AGAAUCAACGCUGGCGGCGUGCCUAACACAUGCAAGUCGAACGAGAAAGUGGAGCAAUCCAUGAGUAAAGUGGCGCACGGGUGAGUAACACGUGACUAACCUACCCUUGAGUGGGGGAUAACCUAGAGAAAUCUGGGCUAAUACCGCAUAAUACCUUCGGGUCAAAGGAGCAAUUCGCUUUAGGAGGGGGUCGCGGCCGAUUAGUUAGUUGGCGGGGUAAUGGCCCACCAAGACUGUGAUCGGUAUCCGGCCUGAGAGGGCGCACGGACACACUGGAACUGAAACACGGUCCAGACUCCUACGGGAGGCAGCAGUGGGGAAUUUUGCGCAAUGGGGGAAACCCUGACGCAGCAACGCCGCGUGGAGGAUGAAGUCCCUUGGGACGUAAACUCCUUUCGACCGGGAAGAUAAUGACGGUACCGGAAGAAGAAGCCCCGGCUAACUUCGUGCCAGCAGCCGC
RNAcentral lists this ribosomal RNA (460 nucleotides) under uncultured bacterium. RNAcentral's name for it is "SSU rRNA". It matches the Rfam family "Bacterial small subunit ribosomal RNA", at positions 26 to 518 of the family's 1533-position model. The record is from RNAcentral.